Molecule: ribosomal RNA, 657 nt
Filed under: uncultured bacterium
Lineage: Bacteria
Description: bacterial SSU rRNA
Rfam family: Bacterial small subunit ribosomal RNA
Source: RNAcentral
CAAGUCGAACGAGAAGCUAUCCUUCGGGAUAGUGGAAAGUGGCAGACGGGUGAGUAACGCGUGGGAACGUGCCUUUCGGUUCGGGAUAACUCAGGGAAACUUGGGCUAAUACCGAAUACGCCCUUCGGGGGAAAGAUUUAUCGCCGAAAGAUCGGCCCGCGUCGGAUUAGCUUGUUGGUGAGGUAAAAGCUCACCAAGGCGACGAUCCGUAGCUGGUCUGAGAGGAUGAUCAGCCACACUGGGACUGAGACACGGCCCAGACUCCUACGGGAGGCAGCAGUGGGGAAUAUUGGACAAUGGGCGCAAGCCUGAUCCAGCCAUGCCGCGUGGGUGAAGAAGGCCCUAGGGUUGUAAACCCCUUUCAGCGGGGAAGAUAAUGACGGUACCCGCAGAAGAAGCCCCGGCUAACUCCGUGCCAGCAGCCGCGGUAAUACGGAGGGGGCUAGCGUUGUUCGGAAUUACUGGGCGUAAAGCGCGCGUAGGCGGACUUUCAAGUCAGGGGUGAAAUCCCGAGGCUCAACCUCGGAACUGCCUUUGAUACUGUAAGUCUUGAGUCCGAGAGAGGUGAGUGGAAUUCCUAGUGUAGAGGUGAAAUUCGUAGAUAUUAGGAAGAACACCAGUGGCGAAGGCGGCUCACUGGCUCGGUACUGACGCUGA